GCGCUUUUAAUAAAAUAUUUAAAAAAAAAUAUUUCAAGUCCCAAAGUAAUAUAAAAAUUAAAUUAACAAUUUAAUAAAAAUUUAUUUACUAUAUACUGCCAUGUUAAUGUAAUUAAUGAUAUUAGAACAUUUGUUCUCAAAAUGCUAACACUGUAAAGCCCAAGAUACAUCUUCUUUAUUAUAUUGAACCAUAAAUUUUAGAUGUUAAUGAAGCCUUAUGAUAAUUUUUGUACUCUUCCUUAUAUAUAUAUUAAAAGGACCCAUUUUAAU
RNAcentral lists this unclassified non-coding RNA (270 nucleotides) under Hevea brasiliensis (rubber tree). Lineage: Eukaryota; Viridiplantae; Streptophyta; Magnoliopsida; Malpighiales; Euphorbiaceae. The record is from RNAcentral.